AGGAUCAUUAUCGAGUUCUGACGAGGAGUCUUGAUGCUGGCCCAGCAAUGGGCAUGUGCUCGGCUCCCUGCUCAAAUCCAACUCAACCACUGUGCACUACUUCAAGCUUGUUGGUCCUCCAGCCACUACGGCGCGGAGCAGCUCUCUUAACACGAGAGUCGGGGCUGACAGGUUUGACUAUCACACAAACUACUUUGAAGUCUUGUAGAAUGUUAAUACUAUUGAAACAAUACAACUUUCAACAACGGAUCUCUAGGCUCUCGCAUCGAUGAAGAACGCAGCGAAAUGCGAUAAGUAAUGUGAAUUGCAGAAUUCAGUGAAUCAUCGAAUCUUUGAACGCACCUUGCGCUCUUUGGUAUUCCGAAGAGCAUGCCUGUUUGAGUGUCAUGAAAUCAUCAACCCCCUACACUUUUUGUGUUAGCGGCGGCUUGGACUUGGAGGCUUAUGCUGGCUUCUCGAAGUCGGCUCCUCUUGAAUGCAUUAGCUGGACUUGUGUUUCGCAGUACGCGGUGUGAUAAUUUAUUCACCCAUGUGCGCUUACACUCCUAGUCAAGCUUCUAAUCGCUCGUAACUGAGCAAUUCUUGACCAUCUGACCUCAAAUC
This 603-nucleotide ribosomal RNA is filed under the name fungal sp. VKM FW-785. RNAcentral describes it as "eukaryotic LSU rRNA". The stretch from base 234 to 387 matches the Rfam family "5.8S ribosomal RNA". Lineage: Eukaryota; Fungi. The record is from RNAcentral.